UGAGGAAUAUUGGUCAAUGGGCGAGAGCCUGAACCAGCCAAGUCGCGUGAGGGAAGACGGUCCUAAGGAUUGUAAACCUCUUUUGUCGGGGAGCAAAAGGGCAGUGAUGUGCCCGUUGAGAGUACCCGAAGAAAAAGCAUCGGCUAACUCCGUGCCAGCAGCCGCGGUAAUACGGAGGAUGCGAGCGUUAUCCGGAUUUAUUGGGUUUAAAGGGUGCGUAGGCCGAAGAUUAAGUCAGUGGUAAAAUUGCGUGGCUCAACCACGUAUCGCCAUUGAAACUGGUUUUCUUGAGUGGGCGAGAAG
Molecule: ribosomal RNA, 303 nt
Filed under: uncultured bacterium
Lineage: Bacteria
Description: bacterial SSU rRNA
Rfam family: Bacterial small subunit ribosomal RNA
Source: RNAcentral